UUGCUUAACUUACCAUCUAAAACUGACUCAGUCGCUCAAAGCAGACAGUCAGCACAUUCUGUAACAAGCACAUUGUCAUCUCUACAUCACGCCUGCAGUGGAAUCCAAAGAGGUUCAGCGCUUGAUAAUUGACGUUGGCGAAGAGAAAAACAUUUAAUGCCUGCAGAUAUGCCCUGUGGAUUGUUCCGAAUCACCAGAGAGAGACGGAGUGAAACACAGAGCACGCUCCCUGAUCCCUGCAGCUUUACAUAAUGUGAUAUCCGGCCACCACAUGACCACUGAGGAUUGCCAGGGAUUACACAAGGGAGUGGACGACCCUGUAAAUAGACAGACGCCUGAACUGUGUUGCUGCUCUGCCCUCUGACUUCUAAACCCGACUCGUCCACGAAGACGUGCUCUCAGAGAACUCGACCGACAGCCUCGCUACCUUUCACAUGGACUGUAAAAUGAUCUUUGGACCAUCUGAUGUCGAAGCAGCGAUGGCGGGAAACUGGAGCAGUGAAGCUAAUAUAGCCGCUCACCAGAUCCCUGUGGAGCACCCAGUUGGCAUGGAGGUAAUGGAUCCCAUCCAGAAUCUGAUACAGGAGAGACUUCACCAUCCCUCGGGGCAGCUGCAUGGGCUUCUUGUUGGCCUUGGAGGCGCGGUGGAACUUGAUGAUGUGCUACGACGCAGAGAAAGUUUCAGGCAAAGGCGGCUCAGGCCGUGCUUCGACAUGUUCAGGGACGGAGGGCGGGCUGUGUGACUGCCAUCAUCACACUGAACCGUUCUCUGCUGCUGAGACGCUGAUCGUCAACGAGGGCUAGAGUCAAACUGUGCGACGAACUGUCAAAAUAUUCCACACAACAGCACGCGGCGCAGCGAAACCAGAUGUCCAGAUGAGAAAGUGACGCAGACAUACAAGCUCUCAUUGGACUGACUCCAAGUCUCGGUCUAGGCUGCCAGUCUAGGUCUCAACAGGAUCGAUCGGGACACAACAACCCCGCCGCCACCCCUCCAAAACAAAGAGGACUUUUUAAUACUGAAUUCAGAUCCAGAAAUGUAUUUAUUUUUAAAUAAAACUAUGCAGUAUCAGAUCAAUGUGUUAUAAUAACUUACAAGUUAACAUCAGAGGAGGUGAACUAUGGUUCCAUAAUUUAUAAUUAAUCCAUAAUAGUGUAUAUUCUCUCUCUCUCUCUCUC
This is a long non-coding RNA of Seriola aureovittata, 1179 nucleotides long. RefSeq lists it as uncharacterized. The record is from RefSeq and is a predicted model, not a curated record. The transcript has 3 exons. NCBI's taxonomy places the organism in Eukaryota, Metazoa, Chordata, Actinopteri, Carangiformes, Carangidae.